This 253-nucleotide ribosomal RNA is filed under the name uncultured bacterium. RNAcentral's name for it is "partial 16S ribosomal RNA". It matches the Rfam family "Bacterial small subunit ribosomal RNA", at positions 524 to 776 of the family's 1533-position model. The record is from RNAcentral.
UACGUAGGUGGCAAGCGUUGUUCGGAUUUACUGGGCGUAAAGGGCGCGUAGGCGGCCCUCCUUGUCGCGUGUGAAAGCCCCGGGCUCAACCUGGGAAUUGCGCGCGAAACGGGAGGGCUUGAGUUCGGGAGAGGAGCGUGGAAUUCCCAGUGUAGAGGUGAAAUUCGUAGAUAUUGGGAAGAACACCAGUGGCGAAGGCGGCUCACUGGCCCGGUACUGACGCUGAGGUGCGAAAGCGUGGGGAGCAAACAGG